GAAAUGCGAUACGUAGUGUGAAUUGCAGAUUUCCGUGAAUCAUCGAAUCCUCGAACGCACAUUGCACUUCCGGGUACUCCUGGGAGUAUGCCUGUUUCAGUAUCAGUGUUCAUCUCAAACCAGAUUGGGUUUGGAAUUGAGCUUUCCCACAGAGCCGCGCUCUUUACGGGCAAGGUGUGCUGUGAAGCUUUAAAAACAGAUGAAAGUCAGCCUUUGAAAAACUGAUUGCAACCGAAGCUGGAUAGUGCCAGAUAGGCAUCUUUUUGAAAGCUCAAGUGUUGUGAAGGCCUCCACUUUUUGUUACCACAAGAAACGUUCGAGCGCAAGUUCGAACACGGGUUAAUCGCCCGCCCAAAACUUGAUCUGAAAUCAGGCAAGAUGACCCCCUGAACUUAA
RNAcentral lists this unclassified non-coding RNA (396 nucleotides) under uncultured Redeckera. Its description in RNAcentral is "sequence contains ITS1". The stretch from base 1 to 105 matches the Rfam family "5.8S ribosomal RNA", at positions 50 to 154 of the family's 154-position model. The record is from RNAcentral. Lineage: Eukaryota; Fungi; Glomeromycota; Glomeromycetes; Diversisporales; Diversisporaceae.